AGAGUUUGAUCCUGGCUCAGAUCGAACGCUGGCGGCAUGGCUAAGACAUGCAAGUCGUACGGGCCAUUUUUCGGAAUGGUCAGUGGCGGACGGGAGCGUAAUACAUAGGUAAUGUACCCCGAACACUGGGAUAACCACGGGCGCAAGCCCUUUGCGAAAGUGUGGAUAAUACCGGAUGACGUCGCUGGAUCGCAUGGUUCGGCGACCAAAGGUGGGGACCUUCGGGCCUGCCGGUUUGGGAUCAGCCUAUGUCCUAUCAGCUAGUUGGUGGGGUAACGGCCUACCAAGGCGACGACGGGUAGCGGGCGUGAGAGCGUGGCCCGCCUCAUCGGGACUGAGACACUGCCCGGACACCUACGGGUGGCUGCAGUAACGAAUAUUGGGCAAUGGGCGAAAGCCUGACCCAGCAAUGCCGCGUGCAGGAGGAAGCCCCUCGGGGUGUAAACUGCUGUCAGGGUCUAGCAAGCAAGGGACGUGAACAGCGUCCUGCGCUGAGCAGACCCAAAGGAAGUCUCGGCUAACUCUGUGCCAGCAGCCGCGGUAAGACAGAGGAGGCUAGCGUUGUUCGGAAUUAUUGGGCUUAAAGAGCGCGUAGGCGGCCUGGUAAGCGUCUCGUGAAAUCCCUCGGCUCAACCGAGGAACUGCGGGGCGAACUGCUUGGCUUGAGUUUGGUAGAGGCGCCUGGAACGCUAGGUGGAGCGGUGAAAUGCGUAGAUAUCUAGCGGAACGCCAGAUGCGAAAGCGGGGCGCUGGGCCAAUACUGACGCU
RNAcentral lists this ribosomal RNA (768 nucleotides) under uncultured bacterium. RNAcentral describes it as "bacterial SSU rRNA". It matches the Rfam family "Bacterial small subunit ribosomal RNA", at positions 8 to 747 of the family's 1533-position model. The record is from RNAcentral.